UUUUUCUUCUGUCAACAUGUAAGUUUAAAUUAUAACAACUUCGUUCUGAUUGCGAGUCGUACUACGAAACCAAACAAUUAGUCU
This 84-nucleotide small RNA is filed under the name Arabidopsis thaliana (thale cress). RNAcentral describes it as "ATSL114650". Lineage: Eukaryota; Viridiplantae; Streptophyta; Magnoliopsida; Brassicales; Brassicaceae. The record is from RNAcentral.